RNAcentral lists this ribosomal RNA (234 nucleotides) under Clostridioides difficile. RNAcentral describes it as "partial 23S ribosomal RNA". It matches the Rfam family "Bacterial large subunit ribosomal RNA", at positions 2598 to 2834 of the family's 2925-position model. The record is from RNAcentral. Lineage: Bacteria; Bacillati; Bacillota; Clostridia; Peptostreptococcales; Peptostreptococcaceae.
ACGCGAGCUGGGUUCAGAACGUCGUGAGACAGUUCGGUCCCUAUCCGUCGCAGGCGUAGGAAAUUUGAGAAGACCUGUCCUUAGUACGAGAGGACCGGGAUGGACGUACCUCUGGUGUACCAGUUGUUCUGCCAAGGGCAUGGCUGGGUAGCUAUGUACGGAAUGGAUAAGCGCUGAAAGCAUCUAAGCGCGAAGCCAACUUCAAGAUAAGAUUUCCCACCGCAAGGGUAAGAC